RNAcentral lists this ribosomal RNA (471 nucleotides) under Salmonella enterica. RNAcentral describes it as "bacterial SSU rRNA". It matches the Rfam family "Bacterial small subunit ribosomal RNA", at positions 1 to 468 of the family's 1533-position model. Lineage: Bacteria; Pseudomonadati; Pseudomonadota; Gammaproteobacteria; Enterobacterales; Enterobacteriaceae. The record is from RNAcentral.
AAAUUGAAGAGUUUGAUCAUGGCUCAGAUUGAACGCUGGCGGCAGGCCUAACACAUGCAAGUCGAACGGUAACAGGAAGCAGCUUGCUGCUUCGCUGACGAGUGGCGGACGGGUGAGUAAUGUCUGGGAAACUGCCUGAUGGAGGGGGAUAACUACUGGAAACGGUGGCUAAUACCGCAUAACGUCGCAGGACCAAAGAGGGGGACCUUCGGGCCUCUUGCCAUCAGAUGUGCCCAGAUGGGAUUAGCUUGUUGGUGAGGUAACGGCUCACCAAGGCGACGAUCCCUAGCUGGUCUGAGAGGAUGACCAGCCACACUGGAACUGAGACACGGUCCAGACUCCUACGGGAGGCAGCAGUGGGGAAUAUUGCACAAUGGGCGCAAGCCUGAUGCAGCCAUGCCGCGUGUAUGAAGAAGGCCUUAGGGUUGUAAAGUACUUUCAGCGGGGAGGAAGGUGUUGUGGUUAAUAACC